This 38-nucleotide ribosomal RNA is filed under the name Ammannia baccifera. RNAcentral describes it as "partial 18S ribosomal RNA". Lineage: Eukaryota; Viridiplantae; Streptophyta; Magnoliopsida; Myrtales; Lythraceae. The record is from RNAcentral.
UCGCAUCCUGCACGGCAGAACGACCCGCGAACAAGUUA